This 27-nucleotide non-coding RNA is filed under the name Homo sapiens (human). Lineage: Eukaryota; Metazoa; Chordata; Mammalia; Primates; Hominidae. The record is from RNAcentral.
UUCAUCAGGAACUGGGUCUGUAGGUAC